UUUGAAGUUAGCGGCGGACGGGUGAGUAACACGUGGGUAACCUACCUAUAAGACUGGGAUAACUUCGGGAAACCGGAGCUAAUACCGGAUAACAUUUAGAACCGCAUGGUUCUAAAGUGAAAGAUGGUUUUGCUAUCACUUAUAGAUGGACCCGCGCCGUAUUAGCUAGUUGGUAAGGUAACGGCUUACCAAGGCGACGAUACGUAGCCGACCUGAGAGGGUGAUCGGCCACACUGGAACUGAGACACGGUCCAGACUCCUACGGGAGGCAGCAGUAGGGAAUCUUCCGCAAUGGGCGAAAGCCUGACGGAGCAACGCCGCGUGAGUGAUGAAGGGUUUCGGCUCGUAAAACUCUGUUAUUAGGGAAGAACAAAUGUGUAAGUAACUGUGCACAUCUUGACGGUACCUAAUCAGAAAGCCACGGCUAACUACGUGCCAGCAGCCGCGGUAAUACGUAGGUGGCAAGCGUUAUCCGGAAUUAUUGGGCGUAAAGCGCGCGUAGGCGGUUUCUUAAGUCUGAUGUGAAAGCCCACGGCUCAACCGUGGAGGGUCAUUGGAAACUGGGAAACUUGAGUGCAGAAGAGGAAAGUGGAAUUCCAUGUGUAGCGGUGAAAUGCGCAGAGAUAUGGAGGAACACCAGUGGCGAAGGCGACUUUCUGGUCUGUAACUGACGCUGAUGUGCGAAAGCGUGGGGAUCAAACAGGAUUAGAUACCCUGGUAGUCCACGCCGUAAACGAUGAGUGCUAAG
Molecule: ribosomal RNA, 748 nt
Filed under: Staphylococcus sp.
Lineage: Bacteria; Bacillati; Bacillota; Bacilli; Caryophanales; Staphylococcaceae
Description: bacterial SSU rRNA
Rfam family: Bacterial small subunit ribosomal RNA
Source: RNAcentral